This 413-nucleotide ribosomal RNA is filed under the name uncultured bacterium. RNAcentral's name for it is "bacterial SSU rRNA". It matches the Rfam family "Bacterial small subunit ribosomal RNA", at positions 505 to 916 of the family's 1533-position model. The record is from RNAcentral.
GUGCCAGCCGCCGCGGUAAUACGUAGGGGGCGAGCGUUGUCCGGAAUUACUGGGCGUAAAGGGUGCGUAGGCGGCCGAUUAAGUCAGAUGUGAAAUACCAGGGCUCAACCCUGGGGGUGCAUUUGAAACUGGUUGGCUUGAGUGCAGGAGAGGAAAGUGGAAUUCCUAGUGUAGCGGUGAAAUGCGUAGAGAUUAGGAGGAACACCAGUGGCGAAGGCGACUUUCUGGACUGUAACUGACGCUGAGGCACGAAAGCGUGGGUAGCGAACAGGAUUAGAUACCCUGGUAGUCCACGCCGUAAACGAUGGAUACUAGGUGUAGGAGGUAUCGACCCCUUCUGUGCCGUAGUUAACGCAAUAAGUAUCCCGCCUGGGGAGUACGGCCGCAAGGUUGAAACUUAAAUAAAUUGACGG